UGUAAAGUGGGGGGACCUUUUUUCGUCUAGAGUAUGAGAUAUUGGGUAUACCAAAUGGUAGUCGCUUUGCACCAUCCACGUCUGGAAGCUUUGGCUAGGAGUGUCACGACCAAGGACGCGGUGUGCUGUGCGCUGUCCAUGUUGACGGGCCAUCCUCGAGUUGCCCCUACCAGGCAAAUCCGCUCGCCUCGAGUUGCCCCUUCCAAGCAAAUCUGGUCGCAAUUGCUAGUCAUCGACGUCCUCCGAGCGGCGUGUGGAUGGCCACAUAUUGUUGUUUUUUGCUCGUCUACGGUGAAGCCUACAUUGAUGAUUGUUAAUGGUGAAGUCGGAGUCGCCCUCGCAGAGGUGUGAUGACGAUGACGCCGGAUUACAACCUUGAUGAAGCUCUUUCCCUUGACGGCGUGUGUGCGUUUUUGUGUAGGUUUUCAGGUCGCCUUGUGUGCCUUGUUGUGGGCGCAUUGUGACGGUUUUAGCCCGAUUUUCCGAUUAUUAACCGGGCAAUUCUCUUCGACCUUUUUUAAUGAAAUCGAUACCUAAGGGACCGCGUUUCAAAAAAUAAAGUGGUAAAGCUUUCUAGACUCCGUAAUCAUUUCAGUUGGUCACGGCAUGCUACUCUGAUUUUAGCAUCCCAUUAUCUAAAACAUUUUAUAGAUGGCACAUUUGUGAAAUCAGAUGAUAAUGUUGAGUGAGAGCAAUUUGAACAGAAUGAGAACCGUUGUUUUGGCGUGGUUGUUGGGGGUCAAGUUGACUCCUUUCAUGCCAAUUUUGCCNGCCUUGUGACGGUUUUAGCCCGAUUUUUCGAUUAUUAACCGGGCAAUUCUCUUCGACUUUUUUUUAAUGAGAUCGAUACCUAAGGAACCGUGUUUUAAAAAAUAAAGUGGUAAAGCUUUUUGGAGUCGGUAAUCAUUUCAGUUGGUCACGGCAUGCUACUCUGAUUUUAGCAUCCCAUUAUCUAAAACAUUUUAUAGAUGGCACAUUUGUGAAAUCAGAUGAUAAUGUUGAGUGAGAGCAAUUUGAACAGAAUGAGAACCGUUGUUUUGGCGUGGUUGUUGGGGGUCAAGUUGACUCCUUUCAUGCCAAUUUUGCCACCCGAGACACCGCCUUUGAGCUACUGCUCAACUCUAUGUUCAUUUCUACAUGAGAGAGUAGGAAUAACAGAUCAAGGGCAUACAAGUCUGUUACUACUAUCUUACACUCAAUAACUCGUGCUCUUGUUAAUUUCAUUUGGGGAUUCCUCUCAAGCAUUGAAUGCGCUCGUCCGCCAAUUGGCUGAGCAUACAAUUUGUAUGACCGGUCUAGUUGUAUACAUAUGACUUUUCUGGUCUAGAUGAUGAACUUGGUUAGGUUCAUCUAAGUCGUAUGACAUAUAGCUGUAGUAGUAAUCAUAGUAGUAUAAAUACUAAGCACUUGUCCACAUUGCACCCAUUCUCAACUCUACUGCCACUGAGAAUUUAUAAGUUGAUGCAUAUAUUUCUUCAUAUUUUAUAGUGUAUGAGAUAUUGGAGUACACCAAAAGGUAGAAGGUUAAAGGUGUGCGGUGGCGCGCAGUCUGUGCACCAUAUGUUGGUGAAUCAUAGUCUGAAUAGGCUAGGUACAAUUGCAUCCAUCCUAGGACAACACGAAUGAAGAAUUUAGUGUUAGAUAGCAAAGGCAGCUGAUAGCAAGUCAAAUACACACCACACUACCACACGUGCAAUGUGUCCUCUAUUUACCAGGAUUCCGGUGCUGCACCGAUGAUUCCUGGCCGCAUCCAAGCGCGGCGGAGUGCCAUCGGUGUGCUGUCCCGUGUCAUGAAGCGCCCACACAAUCUGCAGUUCACCUAUACGAUUAUAGCCAUAUACGAUCAUACCCGUGCAUGACAAAGUUAGGUAGGCUCAUCAAAGCGUUAUGUCUGUUCAAGCUAUUGUAAUUAGUAUAAAUAGUAAGCACUUCAUGUGAUUUAACCCAUUCUAACUCUUGCCACUGUUGUUGAGAACAAUAAAUAAAGUGUACACAUAUGUUUCCUUUGCGUAUUAUAUAGAGUAUGCUUGAGAUAUUGGAGUACAACAAAAUAUAAUUUCUGUUGGGAAGUAGCCUGCUAAGUUGUUAAUUUGUUGAAGGGAGUUUUCUUCGGUGGUUGUAAGAGGAUUGUCGUGAAGCAGUGUUUUUUUUCUUUUCUUUUGAAAAUGGCAGGAUUCUUGCAUUCAGGCCAAUCACGUUCUAAUAGAUCCAAAUGAAAAUUGAUUCGUGCUCGUUUGAUCCAGGGAUACCGGCCGGUGCCCAAACGGGAGUGUUGACUUGCAAUUUGGAGUUCGAUCAAAAUAUGUUUUCAGCAUGUUCCAGCCGUGUUUUUGUUUUGGAAUCCGGUGAUGUACAUGUUAUCAUCAGCCGUUGCUAGCUGUCAUGGUUCGCUAAUCAGAUAUUUUAAAGAUUUUACUCUAGACUAGAUACGAAACUAAGUAAAUGAAUCUAAAUUUUAAAAUAUGACUACAUACAUCCGUAUGUAGUUUAUAGUAAAAUUUCUAAAAGGUCUUACAUUUACUAUUUAGGAACAGAGGAAGUAUAUAUACUCUAUUCCAACAAAUCUCAGUGUGAUUUAUUGUUCUUCUUUGACCAAUGUGCGCUAGCAUUAUCCAUUUGUUAGGAUUUUUUGACAUUUUAAAAUUUAUUUUCCAUAGGCAGGAGCACGUCCUCCUGGGAGCCGAAUUGCAUCUCCGCAAUUAGUUGUAUUUAUAUCUUUGCUGAUAGUAUUAUUUGCAAUAAGCUGUAGUACUUACUUACAGAGUCGAUAUGGAACUGCGUAUUGCAAACUCCUGUAACUAAUACUGUAAGUAUUGUCAGGGCCGGGCCGGCAAAAUCCGGGUCCUGUGCGGAACGAAAAAAUGGGGCCCUAUCUCAUAAAAAUAUGAACUAACAAGCAAUUAUAAUGUAUAUAUGUCUCAUAGAAAAAAUUAUAAUGUAUAUAAUAUAAUAUCUUACAUAAAAAAUGGACAUAUAAAAAAGUCAUACCUAUGCAACUUUCGAUUGCUAUUUAUUUGAACAUCCUCAUUCUUGCAGUAUUCUUUGAAAUAAAAUCUUCAAUGAUAUCCUCGUCAUCAACCUUCUCCAAGACUUCACCCUCAAGUGCUAUUGUGGCCAAAUCAUUGAGUCUUUGUUGUGUCAUAGUAGUACGCAUAUAGGACUUCAAUAGUUUCAAUUUGAAAAACUUCUUUCUGCCAAUGCAACUGUCACAGGAAUGGUCAACAGAACUCUAUAUGCAAUACUUGCAUUGAGAAAACAAUCAUGCCGCUUCAAAAAAUUCAGAAUUUCAACAGGUCCGAUAUUUUCUUUUGGCAUGAAAUCUUGAAGAAACUUCAACUCAACAAAUAGUUCAUUGGCAUCAAUAUCAGAUUGUUUAUCCUUGAUAAGGGAAGCCUCAAUAUUAACACAAGAAGAUUUCAAACUAUCCUUAUCCAAUGAACGCAAUGUUUCAGAGGUAAAUAAGAAACCAAAUAUUUUCUGGUAACCUUCAUAUUGCUCAAAUCUCCUUGUGAGUGAGGAAAUUGCUUGAUCAACAACACGUAUGAAAUAGUUGACUCUAAAUGAUUCCUCUCCAGACUGUGUGGCAAUAUUUGUGUCGUCUGGGUUCUCAUCAAACUGUUUCUUUCUUUUAAUUUCUCUUCUUUUACGAAAUGUUGCAUCAAUAUUCAUCUCAAGUGCAAUUUCUUUGGUAUCUCCAAUGCUUCUAAGAAACCAGUUUCUCUGUACCCCUCAAAGAAAGAAAUAAGCCCUUUCACUUUCUCAAUUGCAACAUUAAUAAGCAUAUCCUUUUUUUGCAAGUUCUUGCUUAUUAAAUUAAUAGCAGACAAUACCUCAUACCAAAUGACUAUUGCCAGGAUAAAUUCAUACUCUCCAAGUUCAUUGUUUGCCAAACCUAGAGCCUCACUGCUUGCCUUUGGAUCACUAUUAGUUUCAGAUACCUGAAAUUAAAAGAAAGUUCAUAAAUGUUACGGCUAGAUCUAGUCAAAGGCUGAAUGAAUUACAUCAUUAUCAAUAUGAACAUAUUGGUUACCUGAAGUAGAGCCUCCCGAAUGUCUGAACAUUGAAAUCUAAUUGGUUUAACACUUUCAACACGACUCUCCCAACGCGUAGCUGACACACACUUGAGAGUCAAUCCUGAUAUGUUUUCUUUCAAAAUAUGCCAGUUCUUAGUAGAAUUUGCAAAAGUUGUAUAGAUGAGUUGGAUGAUCCCAAAAAAGUCUUUUGCUCUACCACAAGUCUUGGCCAUAUCACAAAGUGUUAAAUUAAGGCUAUGACAACCACAAGCAGAAUAAAAAGCUCUAGGAUUUACAUCCAAAAGUUUUCUUUAUACCCCUUGAUGCGUUCCUUUCAUAUUUGAUCCAUUAACAUAACCUUGUCCUCGCACAUCAUUUAUAUCAAGAUCAAGAAGUUUUAGCUCAUUCUGUAGCACCUCAAAAAGUCCUUGGCCAGUUGUAUCAUUUACAUCAAGAAAUUCUAGAAAGGACUCUUCUAUGCAAACUUGACUUGAAGAUGAAUCCACAUAUCUUAUAAUUAAAGACACUUGCUCUUGGUGACUUGCAUCAAGGGUACAAUCAAGUAUGACAGAGAAAUACUUUGCGCUCUUUAUUUUCUUGAUAAUUUCAGACCUAAUACAAGAAGCAAGCAAGUGUAGCAAUUCAUUCUGAAUAUUAUGAUCAAGAUAAUGAGCAUGAGUUUCUUCAUUUGUAAUACGACGAACAUGCUCCUGAAUAAUGGGGUCAAAUUCAACCAACAUCUCUACCAAACCCAAGAAAUUACCAUUGCUAUCUUCAUACAACUUGCCAUUAGUACCACAUAAUGCUAGAUUAUGCUUGGCAAGAAAUUUUACAAUGCAAACAAUUCUGAAUAAUACCUUUCUCCAAUGGUCCUUCUCUUUCCCAAGUUGUCGUUGAGCUGCUUUAUCAAUAGUUUGAUGUUUUUCCAAUCUAAUGCGCAACUCAUACCAAUUAGUCAUACUCAAAACAUGAUCCCCACUUGUCUCAUGGUCUUUUAGUCUAUUGGUCAUAUGUGACCAAUCAUUACAACCCUUAUUUGCCAAUUGACCUUUCUGAUGACUUUUUCUAAAUAACUUACAAGCAAAGCAAAAGACUCUAUCAAGUUGUUUAGAAUAGACAAGUCAGUCUCUAUCACAACACUCUCCAUUUGAUAGAAAUCUAGUAUAGAAUAUUGCGGUAAACCUUUUACGAUAUCUAUCUUUAGGACCUUUCUUAAUUGAAUUGUCUCUUUUUGAACCCUUUUGUGCUAAGAUAUCAAUCUGUUUAGAACCAAGAGAAUCCCGGUUUCUUGGAUCAAAUAUAUCAGACUUAGAAAAAUCAUCAACAUCCUCACGAGGUGAACUAUUCAAGUUAACAUCAAUAUGAUCCUCUACUUCCAUAUUAUCUGUCUCUGUCUGACCAUCUCUAGCAUCAUUGUAAGGAACAAUUGCAAGGGUAGAAGGAUCAACAGACUGAUUACUGGAUGACACUUGCGGUGCUUCUUUUCUAACAAAUUUGUCCAUGCCGCCUUUAUAAGAUUUAUUAAUUAAAUUUUGUUCUUCCGCUUUUCUCUUGCGCUUAUAGGCACCAAACUGAUGUUUCCCCAUGAUGAUUCAAAUCUAUAUUAUUGAAACACAAGAUCAAAAAGAUGAAUACAAUGAAAUUGAAGUUAUAUAGUAGCAUAUAUCAAUUGGAGAUCAUGCAUCAAUGUUUGGAACUUAGACGAACUGUCUAACUCACCUAGUUUUGUGUCCUGCACGGAUGAACUGGGAUCAAUCCGACGAGACGACAAGUCUCGGCGGCGGCCUAAAUCGGAUCGCGGGAUCGACUGAUAAGCAGAUGAAGUGAUCAGUCAUGAUGCGAACGAGAAGGCGACGAGCCGACGAGAUAUUCUUUUCUUACCGAAAUAGAGACGGGAGCGCUACUCGUACUGUCGUACAUGCGCACGCACGGCAUCAACGGUAGAGACGACGCGUAUCCUUCCGUUCUGUGCGAUCACGUCUACAGAAGUAUAGAUCGAUGGGGGAAGACGUCUACAGAUCGAUCAUCGAUGGGAUCAUGCAGACCUUCGUCGUGCGCACCUGCGUCCUGGGAUCAUCGAUGGGGGAAGAUGUGUGCACCUGGCGGCUGGCGCUGGCGAUCACGUUUCGUAGAUGGAGUCACGGAGGCCUGCGCGCCUGACCUACAGGCUACAAGCCACAGGCCCAGGUCGCUCUAGCGAGGCAACGUCCUGCUGGUCCAUGCACCCACCGCCCAGCGGACAGCUGGCUUGAGGCGACCACGGCGCGGAGACGAGCCACCAGCCACGACGCCCACGAAGCCACGACGCCCAAUCGUUUUCUUUAUACAACUAUAUGCUAUAUUAUAUAUAUAUUUUGGGGCCCCCAAAAUCGUGGGCCCUGUGCGGGCUGCACAUGUGACACCACUGUGGGCCCGGGCCUGAGUAUUGUGAUAACAAGAAGGUGUUGCCACGCUUCUCCACUUUGUCCAGUCGGUUGAGCAUAGAAGUUAUAUGAUGGUUCUAACUGUCCUGUGCAUGACAAUUAGUUAGUUUCACCCAAGUCAUAUGACAUAUUACCUGUAAUAGUAAUCCUAGUAGUAUAAAUACUUCUAUAAGAAAGUAGUAUAAAUAGUAAGCGCUUCUCCACAUCUAAGCUGUACAGCUCCACUGAUGUUGAGGAUUAAGUUGAUACAUAUGUUUCUUUAUAAUUAAGAGAGUAUGAGAUGCAAUGCGGUGAUGGUUGCUUUACAAUGCCCGUUCCGUCCCAAAAUAAAUGCUUUAACCUUAGUUUAAUUUUUUGCUACAGCUAGUAUAAAGAUGAAACAGUUAUUUUGAAACAGAUGAGUAUAAAGAAGGGGGAACCUUUUUUCGUCAAGAGAGUAUGAGAUAUUGGGGUAUACCAAAUGAUAGAAGGUUUAAGGUUUCAAUUGUCUCUGUGGCAGCACUAAUGUCUCCUCUUCCUGCUAGUAUUUCUUUUUCUGGUAGACAUGUGUAGCCACAAUGCAUCAGACCGGAAGCUAUUAAGUCGCUUUGCACCAUCCACGUCUGGACGCUUUGGAUAGGAGUGUCACGACCAAGGACGCGGUGGUGCUGUGCUGCGAUGUUUCUUUCACUGGAUGUAGUUGAAAUGGUGAUUUUUUUCUCGAUGUAGCGUGUACUGCAAUAUAUAUCAUACUCUGUUCCAACAAAUCUCAGUGUGAUUUAUUAUUCUGCUUUGACCAAUGCGCGCUAGCAUUAUCCACUUGUUAGGAUUUUUUUGACAUUUCAAAAUUUAUUUUCCAUGGGCAGGAGCACGUGCUCCUGGAAGCCGAAUUGCAUCUCCGCAAUGAGUUGUACUUAUAUCUUUGUUGGUAGUAUUAUUUGCAAUAAGCUGUAGUACUUAUUUGCAAAGGCGAUAUGUAACUGUGUAUUGCAAACUCCUGUAACUAAUAGUCAAGUAUUGUGAUAACAAAAAGGUAUUGCCACGCUUCUGCACUUAUCAAGCAAGCUUGUCUACCAGUCGCUUGAGCAUCGAAGUUAUAUGAUGGUUCUAACUGUCCUGAUCUGCAUGGCAGUUAGUUAGUUUCACCCAAGUCAUAUGACAUAUUACCUGUAAUACUAAUCCUAGUAGUAAUACUUCUGUAAGAAAGUAGUAUAAAUAAGCGCUUCGCCACAUCUAAGCUGUACAGCUCCAGUGAUGUUAAGGAUUAAGUUGAUACAUACUCCUAUGUUUCUCCAUAUUUAAGAGAGUAUGAGAUGUAAUGCGGGGAUGGUUGCUUUAUACUACUCCCUUCACGUCAAAAUAAGUAUCGUAAAUUUAAUAAUGUAUAAAUUUUAUAUUAGAACAGCAACACUUAUUUUAAACCAGAGGGAGCAAUGUAAAGUGGGGGGACCUUUUUUCGUCUAGAGUAUGAGAUAUUGGGUAUACCAAAUGGUAGUCGCUUUGCACCAUCCACGUCUGGAAGCUUUGGCUAGGAGUGUCACGACCAAGGACGCGGUGCUGCUGUGUGCUGUCCAUGUUGACGGGCCAUCCUCGAGUUGUCCGCAAAUCCGCUCGCCUCGAGUUGUCCGCAAAUCCGCUCGCCUCGAGUUGCCCCUUCCAAGCAAAUCUGGUCGCAAUUGCUAGUCAUCGACGUCCUCCGAGCGGCGUGUGGAUGGCCACAUAUUGUUGUUUCUUGCUCGUCUACGGCAGAGGCUACAUCGAUGAUCGUUAAUGGUGAAGUUGGAGUCGCCCUCGCAGAGGUGUGAUGACGAUGACGCUGGAUUACAACCUUGACGGAGCUCUUCCCCUUGGCGGUGUGUGUGCAUUUUUGUGUAGGUUUUCAGAUCGCCUUGUGACGGUUUUAGCCCGAUUUUUCGAUUAUUAACCGGGCAAUUCUCUUCGACUUUUUUUUAAUGAGAUCGAUACCUAAGGAACCGUGUUUUAAAAAAUAAAGUGGUAAAGCUUUUUGGAGUCGGUAAUCAUUUCAGUUGGUCACGGCAUGCUACUCUGAUUUUAGCAUCCCAUUAUCUAAAACAUUUUAUAGAUGGCACAUUUGUGAAAUCAGAUGAUAAUGUUGAGUGAGAGCAAUUUGAACAGAAUGAGAACCGUUGUUUUGGCGUGGUUGUUGGGGGCCAAGUUGACUCCUUUCAUGCCAAUUUUGCCAUCCGAGACACAGCCUUUGAGUUGCUGCUCAACUCUAUGUUCAUUUCUACAUAAGAGAGUAGGAAUAACAGAUCAAGGGCAUACAAGUCUGUUACUACUAUCUUCCACACAACAACUCGUGCUCUUGUUAAUUAAUUUCAUUUGGGGANGGCACAUUUGUGAAAUCAGAUGAUAAUGUUGAGUGAGAGCAAUUUGAACAGAAUGAGAACCGUUGUUUUGGCGUGGUUGUUGGGGGCCAAGUUGACUCCUUUCAUGCCAAUUUUGCCAUCCGAGACACAGCCUUUGAGUUGCUGCUCAACUCUAUGUUCAUUUCUACAUAAGAGAGUAGGAAUAACAGAUCAAGGGCAUACAAGUCUGUUACUACUAUCUUCCACACAACAACUCGUGCUCUUGUUAAUUAAUUUCAUUUGGGGAUUCCUCUCAAGCAUUGAAUGCGCUCGUCCGCCAAUCGGCUGAGCAUAGAAUUUGUAUGACUGGUCUAGUUGUAUACAUAUGACUUUCCUGGUCUGGAUGAUUAAGUUGGUUAGGUUCAUCUAAACCGGAGGGAGUAUGACAUAUAGCUGUAGUAGUAAUGUAUAAAUACUCAGCACUUGUCCACAUUAAUUGCACCAAUCUCAACUCUACUGCCACUGAGAAUUUAUAAGUUGAUGCAUAUAUUUCUCCAUAUCUUGUAGUGUAUGAGAUAUUGGAGUACACCAAAAGGUAGAAGGUUAAAGGUGUGCGGUGGCGCGCAGUC
RNAcentral lists this long non-coding RNA (9353 nucleotides) under Hordeum vulgare. Its description in RNAcentral is "long non-coding RNA (HVUL_LNC002671)". Lineage: Eukaryota; Viridiplantae; Streptophyta; Magnoliopsida; Poales; Poaceae. The record is from RNAcentral.